Molecule: long non-coding RNA, 1058 nt
Filed under: Heterocephalus glaber (naked mole-rat)
Lineage: Eukaryota; Metazoa; Chordata; Mammalia; Rodentia; Bathyergidae
Description: lncRNA (ENSHGLG00100040711.1)
Source: RNAcentral
CAUAGAAGAAAGGUUACUUUAGCCACAAUGAUCAGGAGAGGGUAUUUCUGGCAGAAGAGGUCCUAUUUCAUCUCCUAUGUCAUCCCUGUAGCAUCUUGGACGUCCUACCAAGAUAAGAGACAAUUGGAAGGAGGUCGCAGAGAACGGACGACAAGAGGGCGUGGUGCAGCAAGGCCUGGGCGAGGAGAGGACUGUCUUCCUACCCGCCCAUUCGUCGUAACACCGUCCAGCACGAUGUCCUGCGGACCCUAGCCGCUCUCCCUGGCCCAGUCAUGGGGACCUCCUUUUACCUCCCCCUGCACUUCCCUUAUUGCUACACUAUAAAUACACGCACUGCAGUUGCCAGCCAGUCCUUUUCUCCCAUCAGGAGGAAGGCUCCACCUGGCCUCAGCUUUUGUAUCUCUUUGUCUGUCUUUUCUUCAUCCCUCACCGUUCUCCCUCCGUGGAUCCGUCAGCCGCAUCACAGGAGAGAUCGAAUCACCUCCUUUUCAGAAGUACCGGGGGAAUCUGAAGAUGAACACAACCAGAUUCUGGUCUUCUUGGACACAGACAGAGCCAAAGCAAAAUUUGUCAGCAAAAAGUACUCUUAUUUUUAUUGUACAAAUGUGUUUAUUAAUCCAAAGAAAAGCUUACAUGUAACUUGGUAUGUUCUCACCAAUGUAAAUUAUAGUCAUAGACUUUCUUCUAAAAAGAGAAGUUUUUCCAACCUGAAUCAGUUAGGAUGCUUUUACUUGCAAAAAUAAAAAUUCCUCUUUUAGUAAUUAAGAUCCCCAAAUGUCUCACUAAACAUGAAAUACAGAGGCAAGUGCUUCCAGGGAUGAUUCAGCCAACAUAAUAAUGUCAUCAAGAAGAGCAGCCUUAGGUUUGUUUUCUGGUGGUGAUAAAAUGGCUGCUACAGCUCAAGGAAUCACAAUUACAUUCACAGGCAGAUAGAAAAAUGAUAGCUGGAACAUAGCUGUUUUGACACAAGGAGGAGAAAGACAGAAACUCCCAGAUUCCCUCUAACAAUCUGCAUCACAUGUUCAACUCUAAAUAAAUCUUGGCAAAGACAAUGGGGC